This 253-nucleotide ribosomal RNA is filed under the name uncultured bacterium. RNAcentral describes it as "partial 16S ribosomal RNA". It matches the Rfam family "Bacterial small subunit ribosomal RNA", at positions 524 to 776 of the family's 1533-position model. The record is from RNAcentral.
UACGUAGGGAGCAAGCGUUGUCCGGAAUCAUUGGGCGUAAAGCGCGCGUAGGUGGCUUCGUAAGUCCGUUGUGAAAGUCAAAGGCUCAACCUUUGAAAGCCGAUGGAUACUGUGAAGCUAGAGUACGGAAGAGGCGAGUGGAAUUCCUGGUGUAGCGGUGGAAUGCGCAGAUAUCAGGAAGAACACCAACGGCGAAGGCAGCUCGCUGGGACGGUACUGACGCUGAGACGCGAAAGCGUGGGGAGCGAACAGG